AGAUGUUCUGCACAUAUUUGUCAAUUUCUGUGGUCUGACUCAGAGCACAGGAAGUGUGGGUACUUCUGCUGGUGUCAAUCAUUGGGACUGGAUUAUGUCUAAGCAUCUUCAACCUCACAGGGAGGAGCUUGACCGGAGAAAGAGGCUGAGAACUGCUUCUCUUACCAAGGACCUUCCCCAAGCCAGGCAUCUCCGGAGAUGGUAUGGAGCCUGGGGUAGCUCG
RNAcentral lists this long non-coding RNA (223 nucleotides) under Homo sapiens (human). RNAcentral's name for it is "HSALNT0151489". The record is from RNAcentral. Lineage: Eukaryota; Metazoa; Chordata; Mammalia; Primates; Hominidae.